RNAcentral lists this ribosomal RNA (775 nucleotides) under uncultured Neocallimastigales. Its description in RNAcentral is "partial large subunit ribosomal RNA". It matches the Rfam family "Eukaryotic large subunit ribosomal RNA", at positions 24 to 644 of the family's 3401-position model. Lineage: Eukaryota; Fungi; Neocallimastigomycota; Neocallimastigomycetes; Neocallimastigales. The record is from RNAcentral.
UAUCUCUGUAGAGUCUGCAUAUCAAUAAGCGGAGGAAAAGAAACUAACAAGGAUUCCCCUAGUAACGGCGAGUGAAGCGGGAAGAGCUCAAAUUUGAAAUCUUAAAGGGUUUCCCUUUACGAAUUGUAGUUUAAAGAAGUGUUUUCUGUUGGAGUUUCGGUAAAAGUUCUUUGGAAUAGGACAUCAUAGAGGGUGAGAAUCCCGUAUUUGACCGUUACUUUCCAGCUGUGUGAUACACUUUCAAAGAGUCGGAUUGUUGGGAAUGCAGUCCAAGAUGGGUGGUAAAUUUCAUCUAAAGCUAAAUAUUGGCGAGAGACCGAUAGCGAACAAGUACCGUGAGGGAAAGAUGAAAAGAACUUUGAAAAGAGAGUUAAACAGUACGUGAAAUUGUCAAAAGGGAAGCGUUUGACACCAGUGUUGUUUUUCCGAAAAUCAAUUACGAAUGGCUUGAUUUGUGUUGUAUUGACCUUAUCAGCUUUCUUCACUUUUUUCGAGUCUUUCUUAAUGCACUUUUUCGGUUAACAAGUCAACAUCAAUUUCUUUUGUUGUAAAAGAGUAUUCGGAAGGUGGCUUUCUUUUCGGAGAAAGUGUUUAUAGCCCCUAUACUUCUACAAUCGGAGAGAUUGAGGUCUGCAGCGUAGAUCCUUCGGGGUUAGAUACAUUUGUGCUAAGUUGUAGCUUUUCAUAGACAACUUGUUGACUAUGUUUAGUCAUGCGGCUUACUCGCUUAUGCUAUUUUACCUACGCUUAGGAUGUUGACUGAUAUGUAGUCGUA